GGCAGCCCGCCGGCCGAGCGGUGCCGGGUCACCCCGGACAGCUUCUGUCAGCACCCAGGGUCCAGGCUGACCGCGGCCCCUGGUGAUCGGUGCCUGAGGGAGCAGAGCCCAAAGCCGGCGGUGGCCGUCGGGUCCUCGCUGAAUGCCGCACAAAAAGCUGGUUCCAGGUCUCAGAGGUCCAGCUCCUGCAGGAGGGAUGUGUACCCAAACUGCACUGGGGAGAAAGCUGAUGCCCUUUAGCCUCUGGUGACCCUUAGCACGGGAUAAUUUAGCCGUGAAACGCUGAUACAAGUUCAGAACCUUCCCUCUCUCUGUCAAGUUGGUUUAAGAAAGGCAGACCAGUUGAAUGGGAUGAGAAGUCCCAGGAGCGCUGGCAGCUGCACCCUGAGGAGCCGUAGCUGGGAGAGCACGGAGAGUAUGGAGGAGAUGGACCACAGCACUGAAAGCAGAGAGCCUAAUUAUAACAUGAGCAAAAGAAAAUAAAGUUAUUCCCAAGAGCCCCAAAAGAAAAUUGUUCCUCAACCAAGAAAACUGCUGACAAGAUGCCAUAGAUCCAGCAACAACAAAAUUUGCAGCAAUCUUCAGUCAUUCUGAGUGGAAGGCACUUAACACAGGAGUAUAAUUCAAAUUCACACCAAAAAUCUAUCCUCCCCAAGAUUACAGCCUGCAGCACCCAUUGUUUAUACAAGAUGAACAGAAUCUGAAACAUGAAUGUCAUUACCCACAGUUAAAUAUUUGAGAUUGUACUCAUUCCCCCUUGGGCUGUCAGGAAGAGUCUGUGCAUUCAGUACCUCCUCAUCUGCUCAUCACCUCAGGUAGUAACAAUACUAGCAUUGUUCAGUGUCUUAAUCUGUGUGGAGUGGUUCAACUUGAUGUGUGGUGUAUACUCAUUCUCCAUGGUUAUUGCACAAGUUUCAGAAGAAAGGCUCAGACAGUUGUUAAUGUUAUGUUGAGGAGCUAAGCAUACACAGGACAAAAAUACUUCAAAAAUCUUAAAGUAACACAAAAACUGAAAUACAAUACUCUUCUGUAUAUCUAGUAAAAUCUUAAGCCUUUCUUAGACUUAAAAUCAGAAUAAUGUUUCUCUAGACAAGAGGAAUAAUAUGUUAGAAAAGACCAGGUGUCUUAAUGAUAUGAAUUUCUAAACAAAUAAACAAACAAACAAACCCCACAGAGACUAAAUGGAAGUCAUGUAGUCUCUGUGGAUCUGGUUGUCAUUUGUGGCUCUGCUUUCUAACACAAUCAUGGCAAAUAACUGCCUGGUUAUGUUACACACAAAGUAUUUUCAGGAAAAAAAUCUGGAGAGACAGUCAUGAUCUAAAAGGCAAAACUAAUAAACUCAGCAUUUCUACCACAUACAGUCUUCCUUCACCUUGAUCUAAAAUGUCCUUUAAAUUGUUGUCUGGGAAAUGGUUAACUUGUUUCCAGAAAUAUAAUCUUUGACUGUGUUGCACCUAAAAGCUCAAGUCAAGCCCCAUAUUUUAAUCUCAAAAUUGCAUAUUUAUCCUAGUCACAAGCAUAACAGCUUCAGUUGUUAACAGCUAAGUAAACAGGCAAUAAACAUUGUUUUCCCUUUACUUUUGUAAGAUUAGUCUAAAUCAACUGCUUUUUCUAAGAAGGAUUCUUGUAACAAUUUUUUCUUAAAGAAUGAUAAAUUCAUAGUAAAUAUUAUGAAUUAUUGUUCAUAAUAUGAAUAAUUCAUACUCAACAUAAAGACUUCAGGUAUUUGAUCAAAACUGGAAAGUAUUUCAACUAAAUAAAUGUCAAGGCAAACCAAUAAAACAUUUGAAGUCUAUGUUGUGUUUUUCAAAACCAAGAUAUUAGUAUUUGGCAAAUUUCAUCUCUCAAUCAAGCCCAUGCUUAUAUUUAUAUUCCUGAAAUAUUUCUUAAGAUUAGCAUAUUGAAAGUCACUCUUUUAUACAAACUAAAACUCAUAAAUUGGCAUAAGUAAGUAGACACUGCCUUGCCUGUAAACGUACCAAUACUGUAAUACAUCAGAUAUCUAUAUUAAAUAAUCCAAAACCUAAAUAUUGCCUAAUUUCAUCCUUAUGCAAUAAAAUUUAACAGGUCAGAAAUGGUUGCGGUAUUUUAUAGUACAAUAAAAGUGUCAGGAUAUCCAGAAUACUAUGUCUACCAUUACAGAUCUGUUUUUUAUCUCCUGGCAUAUUUACUCUUUCUUCAUCUCUUUAUGAGCUCCAUUAGUUACCUAAUUGCACACAUAUAGAUAUGGAUAUAUAUAAAUAUCCUUAUUAUGUAAGUGAGAUCUGCCUAAUGAAACAAUAAUUUGGGAGAUUUAAAUGCAUAACAUACUGUAGGUCACUUCAGCAAUAUUUUAUGCACUACACUAUAAAAGAAUUUGGUUCAUCACCAUGUAACAGUGAGCAGUCAACUAAGAACUAUAGCAGCUAUGAAAAUUAAAAUCCAAGUUAAUAUUUGACCUUAGCUCACACUACUGUGCCUUUUUAAAUUUUAUAUCUUGGUAAUGGCCUCAAUUAAUGCUGGAAUGUCAUUUGGAUUUGCAGCCUCAAUGACCAUUCUUCCUCCAAUGGAUCUAAGCCAGGAUACUUUAACAUGCUUGACUGCAGCACCACAUAGCCUGCUGUGGUUCAUGAGGUAUCAGAUUUCUGUCCUAAUGCAUGAGCUGUGUUGCAAUAGUAAAAUUAGAAAAAAGUCUGACAUAAUUUUGGAAAUAGCUACAGCACAUACAAGUGGCUCAAAGGGACUGACAGCAGGAAGUCAGCAGCAGUUUGACUGAUGCAAACAUUCAACCAUCAGUUAAAGGAUGGCUGCCCCAGGAGAAGCUCCAAGCUAUUACCACUACAAAGAGUCAGGAUGGAAAUAGCACAAAUCACCUGCUAUUGCACCCAUGGUAUCUAUGAAUGUGCUAUUGAAUUCCACCAUCAAAUACUCACAUCAUCAGCUGCAUAUGCUGCUUUUUCUGAAAAGUUUCUUUGCCUGUGUGGGAAGAAAAAAGCAUCAAUGCAGGAAAAGAGGUAGUUUUCAAACUUCUGCAGCUGUAUCCCCUGGACUGCUGCCAGAACCUGGUAAAGACAAGUCUUGCUUUGACGUUGAAACUCUUUUGAAAGCUCAAGAGCAAACGAACGAAGGCUCUUCAGGUCUUGCUUAAGCCUCUUGUCAGCAAGAAGAAAAAUAUGUUAUAAAGACACAGAACCAGCAGUUAAGAAGAAUCAAUACAACAACCCAAAUUAUUAUGGUGAGACAUCACAGGA
Molecule: long non-coding RNA, 3230 nt
Organism: Oenanthe melanoleuca
Lineage: Eukaryota; Metazoa; Chordata; Aves; Passeriformes; Muscicapidae
Exons: 7
Source: RefSeq, a predicted model, not a curated record